This 253-nucleotide ribosomal RNA is filed under the name uncultured bacterium. RNAcentral describes it as "partial 16S ribosomal RNA". It matches the Rfam family "Bacterial small subunit ribosomal RNA", at positions 524 to 776 of the family's 1533-position model. The record is from RNAcentral.
UACGGAGGAGGCAAGCGUUAUCCGGAAUUAUUGGGCGUAAAGCGUCCGUAGGUGGCCAUUCAAGUCUGCUGUCAAAGCAUGGAGCUUAACUCCAUAGAGGCAGUGGAAACUGAAUAGCUAGAGUUCGGUAGGGGUAGCGGGAAUUCCCAGUGUAGCGGUGAAAUGCGUAGAGAUUGGGAAGAACAUCGGUGGCGAAAGCGCGCUACUGGGCCGAAACUGACAAUGAGGGACGAAAGAUAGGGGAGCGAAAGGG